Molecule: long non-coding RNA, 978 nt
Organism: Pezoporus occidentalis (night parrot)
Lineage: Eukaryota; Metazoa; Chordata; Aves; Psittaciformes; Psittacidae
Exons: 4
Source: RefSeq, a predicted model, not a curated record
UUACAGUCAUUAUUAAUACAGCAUAUUACUGGCUUUAAGCCUUUGUGGAAUACAGAGAGACUUAAGUGUGUGUUCAACUGUUUUCCAGAAGCAAAGAAAAGGAAGUAGAGAACCGUAUGAACUUUUGAGACCAGCUACAGGAAUACCAAAUACUCGGUCUUGGAACUUUGAAUUUCUUCCACAGUGUAGUCACAACAUGAUGUGGAGAAGCAGACUCUGUUCUCCAUUCCUGCCUGGAUACGCUGUUUAAACAUCACCCUCUACAACCCAAAAGAAAUUGUGUGCUCUAUCAAGGUACUCACUAGAAAAAUAUUGGUGAACCUGAAUGGACAAAUGGCAAGUGAUAAUCUGUAAGCAGACAAAAAGCCCAGAAUUCACCAUUGUGCCAUUUGGUAGGGCCAAACUUGGGCAAGGCUGGAUAUGAUCUGGAAGCUGCAUGUUUACAGGAGGGUAUUGUGAACGUGCUGGUCAUGUAUUGAAAACUCAAUUUCAUCACAACUGAAGUGAUAAUAAAGAAAUGUCCAAGAAAAUGUGCAAAGCAGCCAUGUGGCAUGAAGAGUGUAAUGCUUACUUUGAGAUUAAAUGGACAACAAAAACCUCCAUGAAAGAUGUCAUUAAGAAUCCCAUGUUAAGCUACUGCAAGCACGAAUGUUGUCUGAAUCAGUUAUCACCAGUUCACAUCCACAACAGUGCAGCCCUGCACACAAGUGUUCCGCCCAGUGCUAUUUUGAAAAUCUAGAAAGAUAUGAUCUACAGCAUUUGGGAGCAUGUCAAAAUUCAUGAGGUUUUCCGAGAAAUAUUUUGGCAUUGAUGCCUUGAUCCUAUGGACCUCAACCAGUUACUUCCACUGAAAUGAAUGAUAUCAAAAGAAACAAUUCCUUCUAUAAGACCCUCUCCAUUUUAGUGAGGACACGCUGAGGUCUGGUACUGCACAAGGGCUCAGUUCUUAAAGAACACAGUGCAGCCCUUCAAAUUAUA